Long non-coding RNA from Ochlerotatus camptorhynchus, 1484 nucleotides. RefSeq lists it as uncharacterized. Lineage: Eukaryota; Metazoa; Arthropoda; Insecta; Diptera; Culicidae. The transcript has 4 exons. The record is from RefSeq and is a predicted model, not a curated record.
UCAUGCGAAUGGUGCACGAAACAUUUCACGCGACUUGUCGGAGUUGUGUUCUAGUACGUUUUUCGAGAUAACGUUAUCACUGAUUUAUCUGUGUGCGUGAUCUUGGUUCGGUCUUCUUAGAAACAUUGUCAAACUGCUGUCAAUAGUGAUUCUGAUGCGAUGAUGAUAACAUGUGGUAAGUAAUGAUGAGGUUUUAAUAAGAAAUUAUUUGAUUUGCCGGCUGCGAAAAAUCUUCAUAUCAUGAUAGAUUUUUAUUAAAAAAAUUGGCCAAUUGAUCUUUCCAUUGGUUUUGAUUUUUCGCUUAGUUGAUCAUGUAAAUUUCUUACUAGAAGCUCAUCUCUGCACUUCUUUUGUUGAUCACGUGACAAUAUGUGAAUGGUAAACAUGCAAAUCUACAAUACUCCUAGAUUAAAACUAUCAAACUACAGUGCGCAAUCAACUACUAAACAACGUUGCUAUUUUUAUACGGCCGUAUUUACAAAUAUAAUAUGGAUGCAACUGAAUAUUCAUGUUACUCACGCAUUGGUUUGCGUUCUUCUACCCCGGGGUUUUCCUGUUAUUUUUGGAAGCUGAUUUUCUAAACCAUGGAAGGACAGGGAACUAUGCUUUUAAAUCCGCAGCUGAGAAUACACCCAACGAUUUUCCGUUUAAGUCCGACACCUCGUACGAACUGGUACCGACUUUCCGGAGGAUGACGCAUGGUGUGUAUUGAGGUCCCAGCUUCGCGUUGAAUUGGAUUCCAGCAGACGACUGACGAAAACUCCGUUUAUACACACGCUGACCCACAUCAAACGUUGGAAUGGGACCAAGACUGCGUGUCCGAUGUACCUCAAGAAGCCAGUAGCUUUCCAGAGGCUAACCGACGCCAUCGCCCAAGUGCCGCCUUCCAGAGGCUAAUCAACGCCAUCAGCGAUGUGCCGUGUGCAGCUAGAGAACCCAACACAUCAAGGAGAACACGUCGUACGAAUCCACCGAUGUCUGCCAGCCUUCCGAUGCAUCGCCAAGGAACGAGUACUGCGACAGGUGACGUUUAAUCCACUCCGUUAUCCUAAUCUUCUCACUUUCCACAAACGAAACAUGAAUACACUAAAUUAAAUUAAGCUAACUCAGUUUUAGCACAAACGAAGUUCGUUUGUGGUUUUAGUCCAUUAUUUUAAACACGAAAUUCCCUAUUUCCUCUAUCACUCUUUUGAUGUCUACCUUGGAUAUGUUUUGGAAAGUAUUUCCACCCAAUUCGUCUCUGGAGCAAGCAAACAUGUUCCGACAAAGCCUGGAGAGGGACAAAAAAGUAGUCCCCAGAGAUUAAAGAUAGUCUAACAAACUCUAACUGUUAUCAGUGUGCACGUGGUUCUUCGUCAGCUUAUCAAAAAUAAUCGUUUUAUAAAUUAGUUUGAUAAAGGAGGUUAUUAUCUAGUUGCAAAAACUCAAGAACAAUAGGCAGUUAACGAAAGAGAAAGUCGAUGAACAAAAUCGAUCAAUGCAGA